Molecule: long non-coding RNA, 1301 nt
Organism: Zea mays
Lineage: Eukaryota; Viridiplantae; Streptophyta; Magnoliopsida; Poales; Poaceae
Exons: 3
Source: RefSeq, a predicted model, not a curated record
GCAUGGAAGGUCCGACCCCGCUCGCAUCGCCAUCCCCGCUCGGCUGCUCCUAGGAAGGAAGGGUGUCGUGCCCCACGCAUGGAAGGUCCGACCCCGCCCGCAUCGCUAUCCCCGCGCGCCAUCCCCGCUCGACUGCUCCAAGGAAGGAAGGGCAUCGUGUGGAGGACCCGCCCCGCUCUCUGCACCCUCGACGCCCCGCCAUCAUGGAAGGUCCGACCCCGCCAUCGCCAUCCCUGCGCGCCUGCCCAUCCCCGCAUCACGCCCGGGAGGUACGCAGCCCCGUCCACUAUUCCUCCGCCCCUGUCAUCCCAACACCCCGGCCCAAUCCACACCUUCUCCACGCUGCUAUAAAAACCCCCUGUGCCCGCCAUGCCCCCGCCUCGCCUUCCCCUCCAUGCAGACGCAUAGCCGCGGUGGUGCCGGCCGUCUCGGAGGCAGAAACUGCAAUGCACCCCUUGUGUUUGAAUAAUUGUCUGUGUCAUGUGCCAGAAGGAAGACCUAGGGUGCUAUAAAUGAGAUUAAUCAUUACAAAAAUAAUCAGUCGGAGAGCAUUUCAAUGAGAGGAGGUGCAUGCGAUAUUCGUAAUUCACCUUGUGUUUAUGUGAUUUCUCUCUGCAUAUUUCUUUCUAUAUAUCAUUGCAGAAUCAAAAUCAGUGGGAAACUGAGAAUCAAGAAAGGCAGGCAUUUCAGCUCUUUCUGUACCCAAGCAGUACAGUUCUAGCACUAAACAAUCAUCUGGGAACAAGUUUCAAAGCAUCAGCAGCGGAAGAGUUGCCCCAUGGCUUGAGACUGGUGAUGCAGUGGCAAGUAUGUACUUAGAAUCAAGGGGAGAGGCUCGUGAUUUUGCCAGGGUCCGGAAUACCUGCUUUGAGCAGGCUAGACAGGCUUACUUGGUUGGCAACAAGGCUCUUGCGAAGGAGCUCAGCAUGAAGGGGCAGGCCUACAAUGUGCAAAUGAAAGCGGCUCAUGAGAUAUAUCUUACAUAGAAACUUAGUGUGCCUUUAUUUAGAUAUGUAGUGCAUUUUAGUGAGUAUCAUAUGUUGAUCUGGUGUACUGUUACACGAUUAGUUGACAAUAGUUGCUCUCAUCUAAAACUGAAUAUGUUUUGUACUUCAACUUUCGUUAAAUAGAAAGCCUAGCCUUUUCUGAGAUUGUUUAUAGGUUACACUCCUCUUAUCUGAUUGGUUAGUGGUCACUUGUCAGGGGGUGGAGACUAAGGAUCCAAGCCACUAUCACGGACCACAACAUCAAGUGUAUGAGGCAGGGCAAAGAGGCCAACAGGUGCAGGUAACGGCAAAGAU